Molecule: non-coding RNA, 1828 nt
Organism: Anas platyrhynchos (mallard)
Lineage: Eukaryota; Metazoa; Chordata; Aves; Anseriformes; Anatidae
Source: RefSeq, a predicted model, not a curated record
AGCGCAGAAGAAGGAGGAGGCGUCGUGUGGAACGGCGAGGCAAGAGGGAGCGGCAGAUGGAAGACGGGCAAAGAGGAGGACACCCUGGGCAAAGGCUUCGCCCUGUUAGCGGGGCUGUAGGUAGAGGAGAGCAGUGCUGGCACGUGAGGUGCCUGGAUUGUUUUGUGCUGGGCGACCUCCCUGUAAGCAGGGCUCGGGUCUUUGCGAUUGUAAUCGGCCUUUUGCCUUGUUGCUCCUUUGGCUGCCUGGGGGGAGCGGCCCCCUGUAAUCAGGGGCACAGCUGCUCUCUCCGCACCCGGGAGGACUGUGGAGCUUGCCGGACCCCAGGGCCUCCCUGUAGUCAGGGCAGAGCCAAUUCCCCACCCCCUUAAUUUUAGCCGUCUGGCUCUUUGUCUAAACUAUUUGUCUAAACGUGAUGGGCUAUGGAAACUUAGUAUAUGACUGAUGCCUACGCUAUAAUGCCAACUAUUGCAUAAAAAGCAAUAUAAAAGCGAUAUAUAUAUAAUAUGACCUCUAUGAAUACUGUGAAAACAGAUUCUCUAAAGGAGAUGAAUGAUAAAUUCUGAUGCAUGCUGUGUUUCAGCACCCCGUAGCUGGGGUGCGUUGUCCAAUUGGGUCUCGGCAGAAGCCGUUUCGGCUUCUGGACGUCUCUGGCAUCACUGUAAUUGAUGGUGCGUGGGGUACCGCCCUGUAAGCAGGGUCAAGCGUAGCCCCGUGUCUCUCGCUGCAAGGAGCCCCCAGUAGCCAGGUGGGUCUCCGUGUCCCCCGCUUUCCAUGGGCCUGGGGCCUCUAGAAGUAGGGCCGGGUUUUCACCCUCCCUGUAAGCAGGGCCUGGGGCCCGAGCCUCGGCAUUCGGCCGUCUGGCUCCACUGGCGGGGGAAAGGUUGAGCUCUGCGGUUCCAUGGGUGUUGCGGACCCGCCUUAGCAGGCUUUGGUCCGGAGCCUUUUGCUCCGCUGGCAGCUGUGGGGUGCCUGACCCGUUAGCGGGAUGCAGGCUUGUGGGUUCCCCACUUUGGGGAGAAGGAGCCUCCCGCGGCCUCUGGGCCCAGGGCAGCCCUGUAACUCAGGGUGCUGAUGCUCUGGUUCCCUGGGCACUUGAAAUUGUCAAUGGCUCCUCGGAGCCGCCCUGUAAGCCAGGGGUCCAGGCUCUUGGGCCGUUGCUGUGUGUGCCCAGCUUUCAUUUGCCCUUGGUGCCAGCCUUGGAGCCCUGCCGCAGCGCCGCAUGAAGGUCCUCUGCGUGUACAACACGCAGCCAGCGCAGAAGAAGGAGGAGGCGUCGUGUGGAACGGCGAGGCAAGAGCGAGCGGCAGAUGGAAGACGGGCAAAGAGGAGGACACCCUGGGCAAAGGCUUCGCCCUGUUAGCGGGGCUGUAGGUAGAGGAGAGCAGUGCUGGCACGUGAGGUGCCUGGAUUGUUUUGUGCUGGGCGACCUCCCUGUAAGCAGGGCUCGGGUCUUUGCGAUUGUAAUCGGCCUUUUGCCUUGUUGCUCCUUUGGCUGCCUGGGGGGAGCGGCCCCCUGUAAUCAGGGGCACAGCUGCUCUCUCCGCACCCGGGAGGACUGUGGAGCUUGCCGGACCCCAGGGCCUCCCUGUAGUCAGGGCAGAGCCAAUUCCCCACCCCCUUAAUUUUAGCCGUCUGGCUCUUUGUCUAAACUAUUUGUCUAAACGUGAUGGGCUAUGGAAACUUAGUAUAUGACUGAUGCCUACGCUAUAAUGCCAACUAUUGCAUAAAAAGCAAUAUAAAAGCGAUAUAUAUAUAAUAUGACCUCUAUGAAUACUGUGAAAACAGAUUCUCUAAAGGAGAUGAAUGAUAAAUUCUGAUGCAUGCU